Cyprinodon variegatus (sheepshead minnow) is the source of this 2603-nucleotide long non-coding RNA. RefSeq lists it as uncharacterized. The transcript is spliced from 2 exons. NCBI's taxonomy places the organism in Eukaryota, Metazoa, Chordata, Actinopteri, Cyprinodontiformes, Cyprinodontidae. The record is from RefSeq and is a predicted model, not a curated record.
UCUUAAACGGUUAGGUAUUCUGCUCAAUUAUUUUGGUAGGGAUUUUUUUUUCAUUUAGAGAGGUGUGGAAAUUCCGUCCGAUGUUAGUUAAAAAAUGGAAAGAUUAAUCAUUUACCAAGUGUGCAGGGUUUCCCCCAGUGUAUUAUAGUUCGCCAGCCUUUCCUAAAAAGUAAACUUAAAUAUUUGUGAAAUAAUUGCACAGGUUAUGGUAGGUAAGGUCUGAAGGUGAAGGGAUAUCUGGCAUUUGGUAGUCUUGUAUCAUCAGAAACAAUCUAGCAGGGAAAUUCUAAGGAUCCUGGACCACAACAAGAGAACUUUUCGCAACAUAGCACUGUAUUAAUUCCCCAUCUGAAUGUCAAACAUAUGUAGGCAAUGUUUGGUUGGGAGAUUCGCAAAUAAUUUUGAAUAACAUCGGUCUAGUAAAUGUCUCGCUAUAUUAUUGCGAUGCACGUAGGUGAUUUUAUGCCAUGGCGCAAACAGACAGCAGUCAUGUGAUUGCACAUUAUCUGACACAACGUCACAUAAUCGCUCACUGGUUUCAUACUUUACAAACGUAAGCCAAGAACCAAAAAUGCCACACAAAAAAACACUGUUUAGGCGGCUUUGGACAUGAUCCUGAACCAAGUCGAGUCUUGCAACUCGGGUGGAGAAGACAGACCUUCAGAUGAGUUCAGACUUUGACAUUUCUUCUGGUGAAGAGACCUCACCACCACUUGAAAAGAGAGGUCAAUUGGUGACACACAUCAGGCCAACAGAGGGGGAAGAUGGCAGUGUGGGCCCGGAAGAAGAGAUCGGGAAGCCUCUCCUUCAAAGUAAAUAAAAUUGUACGCCACAGAAGAUGGAGAGCAAACAGCUUUAGUCAGAAGACCUACAGAGCUUCCGCUGCUUCAUCACCCUUCGCUCCACACUGGAGGACAGUUGGUUCAGGAUUCAUGACAUAGCAGCGUUAAAUGCCCAUGUGCUCCAUAAGGCAUGCACAGGGGUGCAGGAGAAACGGGUGGACUUCCUAGUGGGAAAAGGGCGUUUCGCCUGGUGAACCUUUGGUGCAGCAAUUCACGCCACCAUGCGCUAUGUUGAUUGUUACAAGCAUACAUGUGGUAAAUGUAGGGAGGAGCUGGUAAAAUGCCAAGCAUGCUCAGAUGAUGUAGUGUUGAAGGACAGGUCCAACCCAUGACCAAUGACAUGUCACCAUCUUUGUGAUAUAUACAUUAAAGAUAACUGUAUUUGAACACCCUGCUCUUUUGCAAGUUCUCCCACUUUGAAAUCAAGGAGGGGUCUGAAAUUGUCAUCGUAGGUGCAACUCCACUGUAAGAGACAUAAUCUAAAAGAAAACAUCCAGAAAUCAAAAUGUAUGAUUUGUCAACUAUUUAUAUGAUACAGCUGAAAAUAACUAUUAGAACACAUGAGAAAAUCAAUGUUAAUAUUUGGUACAGUAGCCUUUAUUAUUAAUGACUGAAGUCGAACGUAUCCUGUAGUUUUUCACCAGGUUUGCACACAGUGCCGGAGGGAUUUUGGCCCACUCCUCCACACAGAUCUUCUCUGGAUCAGUCAGGUUUCUGGGCUUUUGCUGAUAAACACAGUUUGAGCUCCAUCCAAAGACUCUAUUGGGUUUAGACUGGCUAGGCCACACCAGAACCUUGAUAUGCUUCUUACAGAGCCACUUGUUGGUUAUCCUGGUUGUGUGCUUUGGGUCAUUGUCAUGUUGGGAGACCCAGCCUCGACCCAUAUUCAAUGCUCUGAGGGAAGGAGGUCGUUUCCCAAAAUCUUUCAAUACAUGGCCCCGGUCAUCCUCUCCAUAAUACAAUGCAGUAAACAUGUCCCAUAUGUAGAAAAAUGCCCCUAAAGCACUAACACCCCCAUGCUUCAUAGUAGGGAUUGUGUUCUUGGGAUGGUACUCAUCAUUCUUCUUCCUCCAACCAAAAAGUUCUAUUUUGGUCUCAUCUGACCAGAUGACUUUCUCUCAUGAUUUCUCUGAAUCAUCCAAAAGGUCAUUGGCAAACUUAAGACAGGCAUUGACGUGUGCUGGUUUAAGCUUGAAAACCUUCAGUGCCACGCAUGAUUUCAAACCAUGAUGUCUUAGUGUAUCACCAACAGUAACCUUGGAAACCGUGGUCCAAGCUCUUUACACAUCAUUGACCAGCUUCUCUUGUGUAGUUCUGUGCUGAUUUCUCACCUUUCUUAGCAUCAAUGAGACUCCACGAGGUGAGAUCUUGCAUGGAGCCCCAAUCCAAGGGAGAUUGACUAAUAUUUAGCUUCUUCCAUUUUCUAAUGAUUGGUCAAACAGUGGACCUUUAUUCACCAAGCUACUUGGCAAUUUCCCCAUAGCCCCUUCCAGCCUUGUUGAGGUGUACAAUUUUGUCUCUAGUGUCUUUGGACAGCUCUUUGGUCUUGACCAUGUUAGUAGUUUGAUUCUCACUGAUUGAAUGGGGUGAACAGGUGUCUUUUUUCAGCAAACGACCUCAAACAGGUGCAUCUAAUUAAGGAUAAUAAAUGUAGUGGAGGUGGAAAUUGGGAAGGCAGACUAAUAGGUCUUUGAGGGUCAGAAUUGUAGCUGAUAGGCAAGUGUUCAAAUACUUAUUUGCAGCUGUAUCAUAAAAAUAGAU